UUUUCCUCUCGCACAGGCAUCACAGACUUUUUACAUCUUGAAUUAUGACAUAGCCAGACCAUGGACCAGGUCCUUCUGAAUUAGUUUUUUCAGAAGAGAAAAACUUGCAUGGCCCAGUCUUAUGUGCCAUAGUUAAACUUCAUCAUCAACAGCUUUCAAACAACUCAGAUCACCAUUCUGUAAGGACUCAAAAUCAGCGACAUUGAUGUUAUUGUAUAUUUUUUCCACAAGUACUAUUUCACUGGUCACAAGAUCAGUGACUAUAUAUAUUUCGAACGAGAAUUCCACCUUAUUUCCUUUAUCACAGAUUUGAGAAACACUCAAUAGGUUGUACUUAAGGCCAUUUACAUAGUACACAUUUUCAAUUGAAUGAGUGAGUGACUUUCCGACUUUUCCAACUCCAACAAUGUACCUCAUUUUACCAUUGCCAAAGGAUACUCCCUCCUUACAAGGCUUUUGGUGAAAGAAAGUCUGUGGUGUUCCCAGUCAUGUGUUUGAACACUCA
RNAcentral lists this long non-coding RNA (505 nucleotides) under Nicotiana benthamiana. RNAcentral describes it as "long non-coding RNA (NBEN_LNC006713)". The record is from RNAcentral. Lineage: Eukaryota; Viridiplantae; Streptophyta; Magnoliopsida; Solanales; Solanaceae.